This is a long non-coding RNA of Diceros bicornis minor, 574 nucleotides long. RefSeq lists it as uncharacterized. The record is from RefSeq and is a predicted model, not a curated record. Lineage: Eukaryota; Metazoa; Chordata; Mammalia; Perissodactyla; Rhinocerotidae. The transcript has 3 exons.
CGGGCCUGGCUUUUGCGUUCUUCUGGCCAGCCAGACUUUCUGGUUGAUGGCCCGGCAGCAAAAUUCUUAGCCCCUGUAGUGUGGACUCGUCAUUUCAGGCCAAGUCGAAAAUGCGGCCGACCGCCCCCACACUUCCAAUUUCAGAAACAGAACUUUACGGCUCUGAGGAGUGCGAGGGAGAGUGAAGAAUGCCUACUGCUUGCUCUUCCCCUCUCAAUCUAAAUAACCCCUCCUCCCCUGUCCCUCCCCUGCCUCCAGCCUUCUUUCCAUAUCCUCACCUGGCCGAUUUGAGCUUUGAAAGGGUGAAGAGAAGAGGAGAGUGAGAGAGAGAAAGAGGGAGCAGGGCUGUGCCAGCCCCCUGCAGCAAAGAGCAACUUGGAAAUGGCGGGGUCAACGAAAACAGCUCGAGUAAAGACUGUGAUGGGAACUUUGCCCAAGCGAGAGGCAGAAGCAAGAUAAGUUAUCCAGCAAAAUGUGAGCAGGCAAUUUUCUGAUGCUGGGCCAAGGCCUUUCUGACUGUGAAUCUGCUGCUGAGAAUUCCACGUUGCCUUUUUUACAUAAACCCUUUGCGAAU